RNAcentral lists this ribosomal RNA (372 nucleotides) under uncultured bacterium. Its description in RNAcentral is "bacterial SSU rRNA". It matches the Rfam family "Bacterial small subunit ribosomal RNA", at positions 29 to 428 of the family's 1533-position model. The record is from RNAcentral.
AACGAACGCUGGCGGCAGGCCUAACACAUGCAAGUCGAGCGAGAUCUUCGGAUUUAGCGGCGGACGGGUGAGUAACGCGUGGGAAUAUGCCCUUUGGUACGGAAUAGCCUCGGGAAACUGGGAGUAAUACCGUAUGUGCCCUUCGGGGGAAAGAUUUAUCGCCAAAGGAUUAGCCCGCGUUGGAUUAGGUAGUUGGUGGGGUAAUGGCCUACCAAGCCUACGAUCCAUAGCUGGUUUGAGAGGAUGAUCAGCCACACUGGGACUGAGACACGGCCCAGACUCCUACGGGAGGCAGCAGUGGGGAAUCUUAGACAAUGGGGGAAACCCUGAUCUAGCCAUGCCGCGUGAUCGAUGAAGGCCUUAGGGUUGUAA